Molecule: ribosomal RNA, 501 nt
Filed under: uncultured bacterium
Lineage: Bacteria
Description: partial 16S ribosomal RNA
Rfam family: Bacterial small subunit ribosomal RNA
Source: RNAcentral
AUUGAACGCUGGCGGCAGGCUUAACACAUGCAAGUCGAGCGGGGGAAGGUAGCUUGCUACCGGACCUAGCGGCGGACGGGUGAGUAAUGCUUAGGAAUCUGCCUGUUAGUGGGGGACAACAUCUCGAAAGGGAUGCUAAUACCGCAUACGUCCUACGGGAGAAAGCAGGGGAUCUUCGGACCUUGCGCUAAUAGAUGAGCCUAAGUCGGAUUAGCUAGUUGGUGGGGUAAAGGCCUACCAAGGCGACGAUCUGUAGCGGGUCUGAGAGGAUGAUCCGCCACACUGGGACUGAGACACGGCCCAGACUCCUACGGGAGGCAGCAGUGGGGAAUAUUGGACAAUGGGGGGAACCCUGAUCCAGCCAUGCCGCGUGUGUGAAGAAGGCCUUAUGGUUGUAAAGCACUUUAAGCGAAGAGGAGGCUACUCUAGUUAAUACCUAGGGAUAGUGGACGUUACUUGCAGAAUAAGCACCGGCUAACUCUGUGCCAGCAGCCGCCGUAA